RNAcentral lists this ribosomal RNA (467 nucleotides) under uncultured bacterium. RNAcentral's name for it is "partial 16S ribosomal RNA". It matches the Rfam family "Bacterial small subunit ribosomal RNA", at positions 28 to 506 of the family's 1533-position model. The record is from RNAcentral.
GACGAACGCUGGCGGCGUGCUUAACACAUGCAAGUCGAACGGAAAGGCCCUGCUUUUGUGGGGUGCUCGAGUGGCGAACGGGUGAGUAACACGUGAGUAACCUGCCCUUGACUUUGGGAUAACUUCAGGAAACUGGGGCUAAUACCGUAUAGGAGCUCCUGCUGCAUGGUGGGGGUUGGAAAGUUUCGGCGGGUGGGGAUGGACUCGCGGCUUAUCAGCUUGUUGGUGGGGUAGUGGCUUACCAAGGCUUUGACGGGUAGCCGGCCUGAGAGGGUGACCGGCCACAGUGGGACUGAGGUACGGCCCAGACUGCUACGGGAGGCAGCAGUGGGGAAUAGUGCAAAAUGGGCGGAAGCCUGAUGCAGCAACGCCGCGUGCGGGAUGACGGCCUUCGGGUUGUAAACCGAUUUCGCCUGUGACGAAGCGUGAGUGACGGUAAUGGGUAAAGAAGCACCGGCUAACUACGU